AAUAGAUACCCUGGUAGUCCUAGCCGUAAACGAUGAGCACUGGGUUGAAGGGUCCUCCAUAGCCUUUCAGCCGUAGCGAAAGUGUUAAGUGCUCCGCCUGGGGAGUAUGGUCGCAAGGCUGAAACUCAAAGAAAUUGACGGGGGCUCACACAAGCGAUGGAGGAUGUGGCUUAAUUCGAGGCUACGCGAAGAACCUUAUCCUAGUCUUGACAUGCACGGAUUAACUCCCUGAAAGGGGAGCCACGCCUUCGGGUGGAACGUGCACAGGUGCUGCAUGGCUGUCGUCAGCUCGUGCUGUGAAGUGUCGGGUUAAGUCCCUUAACGAGCGAAACCCUUGUCGCUAGUUGCCAGCGAGUCAUGUCGGGGACUCUAGCGAGACCGCCGGUGUUAAACCGGAGGAAGGUGGGGAUGACGUCAAGUCCUCAUGGCCUUUAUGACUAGGGCUGCACACGUCCUACAAUGGCAUGCACAAAGGGACGCAAAGUCGCGAAGCCAAGCAAAUCCCAAAAAACGNUGCCCCAGUUCGGAUUGC
This 532-nucleotide ribosomal RNA is filed under the name uncultured bacterium. RNAcentral's name for it is "bacterial SSU rRNA". It matches the Rfam family "Bacterial small subunit ribosomal RNA", at positions 777 to 1301 of the family's 1533-position model. The record is from RNAcentral.